UUUCUGUAAAAAUAAAAGGUAAACAACAUUAAGGUAAAUUCCCCAUUUCUAUUUAUAGCACACCUUCCACAUCAGCUGAUAUGAUCUGGCAGUUUAAAUCAGUCAAUACGGUUUGACGUCAUACAACAGCAGACGUGUCUUGGGUUGAUGUGUACUGGGUUAGAACGAGCAAGUUUUAUCACGAGUUUUCAUAUAUAGACACCAGGAAUCACGAGGACUUGGACUCAGCUUGUCAACGGGGGGAAAACAGUGGACGUGUAUGACGACCAUGGGGAAACAAAUAAAAAGGCCGCAAAGUAAUAGGAAUAUUAAGACGUAUCUAUCAGCAUGCAGCUCAGUAUAAUCAAAUACAGGAAAUGUACAAUGGAAGUUAUAAAUAUAUCUCAACACUGUAAAGUUAGACCAUUUUGGCGCCCUUUAUAACUUGAUGUGUGGUGUGAGCCACGACUCCGUUGAAGACCGUACCUGGACAUGGAUGGACAGUAACUGUUGUCUUAUUGACACUCAUACCACAUCUUACUAUAUCCAUGACAACGAAUCGUCGUUAAUAUUGCUUUUUUUUCAGCCUUCGCACCGUAGACAUAUAAUUGGAAGAACAAUGUAGAUAUAAUGAUGCUCUGUGCUAUAGGUUUACUUAUAAUAAUUGAUGAUUAUGAUUGUUAUUCGCAUUGUUUCCAGAGGAAAUCUUAAUAUAUGGCUGGAGUAUAAAUAUGGUCACUUGAUCGGUCUUGUCCUGCAGUAAAAUCAAUACUGGAGAGGCGGCAUCUGUUUUGCCUUGCUGGAUGUAUUAAUGCGCAGUCCAAUUUGGUUGGAUCGGGGGACUUUUAUUUUUCUUGCCACAAGUUGCAAGAGUUUUUCGCAAAUUGAUUAAAACAAACUUGCGUCAACGUUUUUGUGGUCUAUCAGUUUGUCUGAUACCUGAAUAUUUUAUAAACAUUUGACACUAAAUGAUUAGAUGACAA
Mytilus trossulus (common blue mussel) is the source of this 962-nucleotide long non-coding RNA. RefSeq lists it as uncharacterized. The record is from RefSeq and is a predicted model, not a curated record. NCBI's taxonomy places the organism in Eukaryota, Metazoa, Mollusca, Bivalvia, Mytilida, Mytilidae. The transcript is spliced from 4 exons.